UAUCGAUCUAGUUCCUUUGUAAAAAUCAGUGCUGGAAUCUCCUUGAUCUCAAGAAAUUUUUAAAAUCUCGAUCUAGUUUUAUUUUUCAUCACUAUCUAACAGUAAUCUAUCUGAACCUGAGUGAGCUAAGACCCAAACCUAUACAAAUCAACCCACAAACCGAACCUAUCCAACCAAAAACCCCUAAGAAAUCUGGGAAGGAAACAGAGGCCUCUCGGUGAUCAUGGUUGCCACCAUCCAACGCAUUGAGUCACGACCAGGGCCAACAAGAAACGUCCACAUCGCAUGGAUCACAAAUGCCUUUGACCACACAACACCUCAGCUAAACAAGGAGACCUCCAACUUCCUCAGCUAAUAAGAUGAAUAGCUCAACAUCGAUGAGAGGUGUUGCCACUGAGCUCUCUCUAGCAUGGAGUCGACAGGAUGACCUUCCUGGCCAGGUAUAGAAAUAGAUCCUGGAGUUGCAAAAAUGGCUAGAGCAAUAGAAGCCCGCCCACCACAAAGUGCUAACCUAGUAGAAAAGAGAGAAAAUUUACGCGCCACAAAGCCGAAGCGUUUCUUUAGGAUUCCAUCUGUUGACACUUCUUUGACUAGCAACCAAACCCAUCACACAGGAUCAACUAUAGAGCCCUCUCUUUGAAGAUCGACCUGCAUACAAAACUACUAAGCACAAACGACAACCAUAAUAUAGCUAACCUAGUAGGGAGAGGGCUAUCCCUAAAAUCUGGGCUAGAGAGCCAAAACCAAAGCCUUCCCCUGCUCGGAGGCAAG
RNAcentral lists this unclassified non-coding RNA (771 nucleotides) under Hevea brasiliensis (rubber tree). Lineage: Eukaryota; Viridiplantae; Streptophyta; Magnoliopsida; Malpighiales; Euphorbiaceae. The record is from RNAcentral.